RNAcentral lists this ribosomal RNA (426 nucleotides) under uncultured Actinomycetes bacterium. Its description in RNAcentral is "bacterial SSU rRNA". It matches the Rfam family "Bacterial small subunit ribosomal RNA", at positions 233 to 671 of the family's 1533-position model. Lineage: Bacteria; Bacillati; Actinomycetota; Actinomycetes. The record is from RNAcentral.
GCGGCCUAUCAGCUUGUUGGUGAGGUAGAGGCUCACCAAGGCGACGACGGGUAGCCGGCCUGAGAGGGCGACCGGCCACACUGGGACUGAGACACGGCCCAGACUCCUACGGGAGGCAGCAGUAGGGAAUAUUGGGCAAUGGGCGAAAGCCUGACCCAGCGACGCCGCGUGAGGGAUGAAGGUCUUCGGAUUGUAAACCUCUUUCAGUAGGGAAGAAGCGAAAGUGACGGUACCUAAAGAAGAAGCACCGGCUAACUAUGUGCCAGCAGCCGCGGUAAUACAUAGGGUGCAAGCGUUGUCCGGGAUUAUUGGGCGUAAAGAGCUCGUAGGUCGUUUGUCGCGUCGAUUGUGAAAAUCUGAGGCUCAACCUCAGACCUGCAGUCGAUACGGGCAAACUAGAGUGUGGUAGGGGAGACUGGAAUUCCU